GACAGAGGUGCCGAGCGUUAGGCGGAAUCACUGGGCUUAAAGCGUGUGUAGGCGGGUCGUUAAGUACCUUGUGAAAUCCCACGGCUCAACCGUGGAACUGCUUGGUAUACUGGCGAUCUUGAGCGACUUAGGGGCGAGCGGAACAAACGGUGGAGCGGUGAAAUGCGUAGAUAUCGUUUGGAACGCCAAUGGUGAAAACAGCUCGCUGGGAGUCUGCUGACGCUGAGACACGAAAGCCAGGGGAGCAAACGGG
This 253-nucleotide ribosomal RNA is filed under the name uncultured bacterium. RNAcentral's name for it is "partial 16S ribosomal RNA". It matches the Rfam family "Bacterial small subunit ribosomal RNA", at positions 524 to 776 of the family's 1533-position model. The record is from RNAcentral.